UCCAGUUGCUGAUCCACCCGUGAUUUAUCGGUUCAUCCGCAUAAUGAAUGCCAUUGUUAUUGUUUUGUUUAUGUGUGACCUGUUUUCAAUUUGUUGCCGGGCCGGAAAGUUUUCGUUCAGGUUUGGAUUUCACAACGAAACCCCAUGCGCUGCUGGGGCCUUUAAUUGUACCUUCGACAAUGGCCGCAGAAGUACUGGUCUGCAACGAACGGAAAUGGUCCCAGGUUAUCGUAAGUCGGAUUCGAUAUCCCGCGUUAUCGGUCUUCUGCAAAAGAAAACACGGGGGACCACCAUUCGUUCUACCGGAAGUACCCAAACCCAACGACAGCGGACGGAAGUAGAAAUGAUUAUUCUCGAAGAAACAGUUGCGGUCACUGUUUGACGUUACCACUCUACAGAAACAGCUGAUUGGGCUGAAAAGCGAGGAGAGAGCGAAAAGUUUCCUGGAUUCGGCUGCUCAUUCAAGUUGAUUUCAACCCCCAAAAAGCGGAAGCAAAAGAUUCUCGAACAUAACGAAUCAAGCGUGAGAAGGCUAUCGGACCGAAAAUCUGCGGAGGUUCCAACGGAUCGUAAAGCCAUCUUGGAUCGCUAUGCGGUUGACCAUAAGACGAGUCUUUUAAAGGACUAUUGGAAAUGUGGAAUCUAUUACUAAAAAAGUGGAGGAAACGCUAUUUUAAACGAUAAAUUAGUGAUAUAGA
Long non-coding RNA from Uranotaenia lowii, 698 nucleotides. RefSeq lists it as uncharacterized. NCBI's taxonomy places the organism in Eukaryota, Metazoa, Arthropoda, Insecta, Diptera, Culicidae. The transcript is spliced from 3 exons. The record is from RefSeq and is a predicted model, not a curated record.